UUGCUGGUGUGGAUGAGUGGCGAACGGGUGAGUAAUACGUGAGUAACCUGCCCUUGACUCUGGGAUAAGCCCGGGAAACUGGGUCUAAUACUGGAUGCUACAUGUCACCGCAUGGUGGUGUGUGGAAAGGGUUUACUGGUCUUGGAUGGGCUCACGGCCUAUCAGCUUGUUGGUGAGGUAAUGGCUCACCAAGGCGACGACGGGUAGCCGGCCUGAGAGGGUGACCGGCCACACUGGGACUGAGACACGGCCCAGACUCCUACGGGAGGCAGCAGUGGGGAAUAUUGCACAAUGGGCGAAAGCCUGAUGCAGCGACGCCGCGUGAGGGAUGACGGCCUUCGGGUUGUAAACCUCUUUCAGCAGGGAAGAAGCCACAAGUGACGGUACCUGCAGAAAAAGCGCCGGCUAACUACGUGCCAGCAGCCGCGGUAAUACGUAGGGCGCAAGCGUUGUCCGGAAUUAUUGGGCGUAAAGAGCUCGUAGGCGGUUUGUCGCGUCUGCUGUGAAAGCCCGGGGCUUAACCCCGGGUGUGCAGUGGGUACGGGCAGACUAGAGUGCAGUAGGGGAGACUGGAAUUCCUGGUGUAGCGGUGGAAUGCGCAGAUAUCAGGAGGAACACCGAUGGCGAAGGCAGGUCUCUGGGCUGUUACUGACGCUGAGGAGCGAAAGCAUGGGGAGCGAACAGGAUUAGAUACCCUGGUAGUCCAUGCCGUAAACGUUGGGCACUAGGUGUGGGGGACAUUCCACGUUUUCCGCGCCGUAGCUAACGCAUUAAGUGCCCCGCCUGGGGGAGUACGGCCGCAAGGCUAAAACUCAAAGGAAUUGACGGGGGGCCCGCACAAGCGGCCGGAGCAUGCGGGAUUAAUUUCGAUGCAACCGCGAAAAAACCUUUACCAAGGGCUUGACAUGAUACCGGAAUCGUUUCCAGAAGAUGGGUUCUUCCCCUUUUGGGGGUCG
This 956-nucleotide ribosomal RNA is filed under the name Kocuria palustris. Its description in RNAcentral is "bacterial SSU rRNA". It matches the Rfam family "Bacterial small subunit ribosomal RNA", at positions 79 to 1028 of the family's 1533-position model. The record is from RNAcentral. Lineage: Bacteria; Bacillati; Actinomycetota; Actinomycetes; Micrococcales; Micrococcaceae.